RNAcentral lists this ribosomal RNA (857 nucleotides) under Lactobacillus sp. 14.2.4. RNAcentral's name for it is "bacterial SSU rRNA". It matches the Rfam family "Bacterial small subunit ribosomal RNA", at positions 52 to 873 of the family's 1533-position model. Lineage: Bacteria; Bacillati; Bacillota; Bacilli; Lactobacillales; Lactobacillaceae. The record is from RNAcentral.
UACAUGCAAGUCGAACGAGCUUCCGUUGAAUGACGUGCUUGCACUGAUUUCAACAAUGAAGCGAGUGGCGAACUGGUGAGUAACACGUGGGGAAUCUGCCCAGAAGCAGGGGAUAACACUUGGAAACAGGUGCUAAUACCGUAUAACAACAAAAUCCGCAUGGAUUUUGUUUGAAAGGUGGCUUCGGCUAUCACUUCUGGAUGAUCCCGCGGCGUAUUAGUUAGUUGGUGAGGUAAAGGCCCACCAAGACGAUGAUACGUAGCCGACCUGAGAGGGUAAUCGGCCACAUUGGGACUGAGACACGGCCCAAACUCCUACGGGAGGCAGCAGUAGGGAAUCUUCCACAAUGGACGAAAGUCUGAUGGAGCAAUGCCGCGUGAGUGAAGAAGGGUUUCGGCUCGUAAAACUCUGUUGUUAAAGAAGAACACCUUUGAGAGUAACUGUUCAAGGGUUGACGGUAUUUAACCAGAAAGCCACGGCUAACUACGUGCCAGCAGCCGCGGUAAUACGUAGGUGGCAAGCGUUGUCCGGAUUUAUUGGGCGUAAAGCGAGCGCAGGCGGUUUUUUAAGUCUGAUGUGAAAGCCUUCGGCUUAACCGGAGAAGUGCAUCGGAAACUGGGAGACUUGAGUGCAGAAGAGGACAGUGGAACUCCAUGUGUAGCGGUGGAAUGCGUAGAUAUAUGGAAGAACACCAGUGGCGAAGGCGGCUGUCUAGUCUGUAACUGACGCUGAGGCUCGAAAGCAUGGGUAGCGAACAGGAUUAGAUACCCUGGUAGUCCAUGCCGUAAACGAUGAGUGCUAAGUGUUGGAGGGUUUCCGCCCUUCAGUGCUGCAGCUAACGCAUUAAGCACUCCGCC